RNAcentral lists this ribosomal RNA (373 nucleotides) under uncultured bacterium. RNAcentral describes it as "bacterial SSU rRNA". It matches the Rfam family "Bacterial small subunit ribosomal RNA", at positions 29 to 403 of the family's 1533-position model. The record is from RNAcentral.
AUUGAACGCUGGCGGCAUGCCUUACACAUGCAAGUCGAACGGCAGCACGGGAGCAAUCCUGGUGGCGAGUGGCGAACGGGUGAGUAAUACAUCGGAACGUGCCCAGUUGUGGGGGAUAGCCCGGCGAAAGCCGGAUUAAUACCGCAUACGACCUACGGGUGAAAGCGGGGGAUCGCAAGACCUCGCGCUAUUGGAGCGGCCGAUGUCGGAUUAGCUAGUUGGUGGGGUAAAAGCCUACCAAGGCUACGAUCCGUAGCUGGUCUGAGAGGACGACCAGCCACACUGGGACUGAGACACGGCCCAGACUCCUACGGGAGGCAGCAGUGGGGAAUUUUGGACAAUGGGCGCAAGCCUGAUCCAGCCAUGCCGCGUG